Molecule: ribosomal RNA, 468 nt
Filed under: uncultured bacterium
Lineage: Bacteria
Description: partial 16S ribosomal RNA
Rfam family: Bacterial small subunit ribosomal RNA
Source: RNAcentral
GACGAACGCUGGCGGCGUGCUUAAUACAUGCAAGUCGAACGGAAAGGCCCUGCUUUUGUGGGGUGCUCGAGUGGCGAACGGGUGAGUAAAACGUGAGUAACCUGCCCUUGACUUUGGGAUAACUUCAGGAAACUGGGGCUAAUAUCGGAUAGGAGCUCUUGCUGCAUGGUGGGGGAUGGAAAGUUUCGGUGGUUGGGGAUGGUCUCGCGGCUUAUCAGCUUGUUGGUGGGGUAGUGGCUUACCACGGCUUUGAGGGGUAGCCGGCCUGAGAGGGUGGCCGGGCUCAUUGCGACUGAGGUACGGCCCAGACUCCUACGGGACGCAGCGGUGGGGAGUAUUACGCAGUGGGCGGAAGCCUGUUACGGCAGCGCUGCGUGCGGAAUGACGGCCUUCGGGUUGUAAACCGCUUUCGCCUGUGACGAAGCGUGAGUGACGGUAAUGGGUAAGAAAGCACCGGCUAACUACGUG